RNAcentral lists this ribosomal RNA (253 nucleotides) under uncultured bacterium. RNAcentral describes it as "partial 16S ribosomal RNA". It matches the Rfam family "Bacterial small subunit ribosomal RNA", at positions 524 to 776 of the family's 1533-position model. The record is from RNAcentral.
UACGGAGGGAGCUAGCGUUGUUCGGAAUUACUGGGCGUAAAGCGCGCGUAGGCGGCUUUGUAAGUUAGAGGUGAAAGCCCGGGGCUCAACUCCGGAACUGCCUUUAAGACUGCAUCGCUUGAAUCCGGGAGAGGUGAGUGGAAUUCCGAGUGUAGAGGUGAAAUUCGUAGAUAUUCGGAAGAACACCAGUGGCGAAGGCGGCUCACUGGACCGGUAUUGACGCUGAGGUGCGAAAGCGUGGGGAGCAAACGGG